GCAGCAGCCGCGGUAAUACAGAGGAUGCAAGCGUUAUCCGGAAUGAUUGGGCGUAAAGCGUCUGUAGGUGGCUUUUCAAGUCCGCCGUCAAAUCCCAGGGCUCAACCCUGGACAGGCGGUGGAAACUACCAAGCUGGAGUACGGUAGGGGCAGAGGGAAUUUCCAGUGGAGCGGUGAAAUGCGUUGAGAUGUGGAGGGACACCAGUGGCGAAGGCGACUCUCUGGUCUGUAACUAACGCUGAGGAGCGAAAGCGUGGGGAGCGAACAGGAUUAGAUACCCGUGUAGUCCCUGUCUCUUAUAC
Molecule: ribosomal RNA, 302 nt
Filed under: uncultured bacterium
Lineage: Bacteria
Description: partial 16S ribosomal RNA
Rfam family: Bacterial small subunit ribosomal RNA
Source: RNAcentral